GUCAAUGUCGAAGUCGUCAAUGUCCAUGCUUUGCUGCAGACAGGGAAUGUGAUCCAGAUGUUUGUAGGAAUUGUUGGGUCAGUUGUGGUGAUGGUACUCUCGGGGUUCCUAACCAAAGAGGUGAUAAUUAUGAAUGCAGGAAUAUGAAGCUUCUUCUUAAACAACAACAAAGGGUUUUACUUGGAAGAUCUGAUGUAUCUGGUUGGGGAGCUUUCUUGAAGAAUAGUGUUGGCAAGCACGAGUAUCUAGGUGAAUACACUGGAGAGCUGAUUUCACACAGGGAAGCAGAUAAGCGGGGGAAGAUAUAUGACCGUGAAAAUUCAUCAUUUCUCUUCAAUCUGAACGAUCAGUUUGUUCUUGAUGCUUACCGCAAGGGUGAUAAAUUGAAGUUUGCCAACCACUCACCAGACCCAAAUUGCUACGCAAAGGUCAUAAUGGUUGCAGGGGAUCACCGUGUGGGUAUAUUUGCCAAAGAACGAAUUAGUGCAGGAGAAGAACUUUUCUACGACUAUCGAUAUGAGCCAGACAGAGCUCCUGCCUGGGCUAGGAAGCCUGAAGCAUCUGGA
Molecule: unclassified non-coding RNA, 566 nt
Filed under: Hevea brasiliensis (rubber tree)
Lineage: Eukaryota; Viridiplantae; Streptophyta; Magnoliopsida; Malpighiales; Euphorbiaceae
Source: RNAcentral